UACGGGAGGCAGCAGUGAGGAAUAUUGGACAAUGGGCGCAAGCCUGAUCCAGCCAUGCCGCGUGCAGGAUGACGGUCCUAUGGAUUGUAAACUGCUUUUAUACAGGAAGAAACACUCCCUCGUGAGGGAGCUUGACGGUACUGUAGGAAUAAGGAUCGGCUAACUCCGUGCCAGCAGCCGCGGUAAUACGGAGGAUCCAAGCGUUAUCCGGAAUCAUUGGGUUUAAAGGGUCCGUAGGCGGCUUAAUAAGUCAGUGGUGAAAGCCCUACGCUUAACGUAGGAACGGCCAUUGAUACUGUUAGGCUUGAAUUAUUAGGAAGUAACUAGAAUAUGUAGUGUAGCGGUGAAAUGCUUAGAGAUUACAUGGAAUACCAAUUGCGAAGGCAGGUUACUACUAAUGGAUUGACGCUGAUGGACGAAAGCGUGGGUAGCGAACAGGAUUAGAUACCCUGGUAGUCCACGCCGUAAACGAUGGAUACUAGCUGUUGGAGCAAUCUCAGUGGCAAGCGAAAGUGAUAGUU
This 521-nucleotide ribosomal RNA is filed under the name uncultured Flavobacterium sp. Its description in RNAcentral is "bacterial SSU rRNA". It matches the Rfam family "Bacterial small subunit ribosomal RNA", at positions 340 to 865 of the family's 1533-position model. The record is from RNAcentral. Lineage: Bacteria; Pseudomonadati; Bacteroidota; Flavobacteriia; Flavobacteriales; Flavobacteriaceae.